CGGCAUCUUUCUGAACUUCCCCGACCAUCCGAGCUUCUAUAGUACCAUUCGAACUCCUCCAGCAGUCAACCUUCCACAGUGUCCUCCAGAUUCCUCCAACAGGCAAACUCCUAUCGUGCCAUCCAGACUUCUCCAAUAAUGAGCUCCUUCAGUCAUCUAUCGAACUGCUCCAAAUGCUCUCUGGGCUUCACUAUCAGUCGAUUAUUCUACAGUGAUCGACUACUCUCCG
Molecule: long non-coding RNA, 229 nt
Filed under: Elaeis guineensis (African oil palm)
Lineage: Eukaryota; Viridiplantae; Streptophyta; Magnoliopsida; Arecales; Arecaceae
Description: long non-coding RNA (EGUI_LNC054914)
Source: RNAcentral